Molecule: ribosomal RNA, 454 nt
Filed under: uncultured bacterium
Lineage: Bacteria
Description: partial 16S ribosomal RNA
Rfam family: Bacterial small subunit ribosomal RNA
Source: RNAcentral
GAUGAACGCUGACAGAAUGCUUAACACAUGCAAGUCAACUUGAACUUCGGUUUGGGUGGCGGACGGGUGAGUAACGCGUAAAGAACUUGCCUCACAGAUAGGGACAACAUUUGGAAACGAAUGCUAAUACCUGAUAUUAUGAUUUUAGGGCAUCCUAGGAUUAUGAAAGCUAUAUGCGCUGUGAGAGAGCUUUGCGUCCCAUUAGCUAGUUGGAGAGGUAACGGCUCACCAAGGCGAUGAUGGGUAGCCGGCCUGAGAGGGUGAUCGGCCACAAGGGGACUGAGACACGGCCCUUACUCCUACGGGAGGAAGCAGUGGGGAAUAUUGGACAAUGGACCAAGAGUCUGAUCCAGAAAUUCUGUGUGCACGAUGAAGUUUUUCGGAAUGUAAAGUGCUUUCAGUUGGGAAGAAAAAAAUGACGGUACCAACAGAAGAAGUGACGGCUAAAUACGUG